This 46-nucleotide non-coding RNA is filed under the name Trichobilharzia regenti. Lineage: Eukaryota; Metazoa; Platyhelminthes; Trematoda; Strigeidida; Schistosomatidae. The record is from RNAcentral.
GUACUGAUGAAGAGUCCCAAACUAAGACGAAACGACUGUUCAGUAC